This 317-nucleotide long non-coding RNA is filed under the name Nicotiana benthamiana. Its description in RNAcentral is "long non-coding RNA (NBEN_LNC034389)". Lineage: Eukaryota; Viridiplantae; Streptophyta; Magnoliopsida; Solanales; Solanaceae. The record is from RNAcentral.
UAUAAUCAUAUGGUAUUUUGUACCGAUUACCACGACUAAUUUAAAUUCGUGUGGCAUGAAACUCAUUGGAAAAGUAUUUACUCAGUGGCAACUUGGUAGUUGUAUACCGUCGAAAUAGAGCAUGACAGAAUAGGAUUGAAAUGUGAUGGAUUGAACUAGGAUACAUGAUUUAAAUGCCUGACCGUGAGAACAUAGUGUCCAUGACCCCAAAAUUAACCUUGACCCCGAAUGAGCUCGAGGAUACAUUGUCAGAUCAAAUAACGGAAGGCCGAAAUAUCCGUAACCGGUAAGGUAUCAUGGGGGGAAUCUCGGCAUGU